AACGAACGCUGGCGGCAUGCCUAACACAUGCAAGUCGAACGCCUGUAGCAAUACAGGAGUGGCGCACGGGUAGAGUAACGCGUGGGAACCUGCCUAGUGGUAAGGAAUAACCGCGGGAAACUGCGGCUAAUACCUUAUGAGCCCUACGGGGGAAAGAUUUAUCGCCAUUAGAGGGGCCCGCGUCCGAUUAGCUAGUUGGUGAGGUAACGGCUCACCAAGGCUCCGAUCGGUAGCUGGUCUGAGAGGAUGAUCAGCCACACUGGGACUGAGACACGGCCCAGACUCCUACGGGAGGCAGCAGUGGGGAGUAUUGGACAAUGGGGGCAACCCUGAUCCAGCAAUGCCGCGUGAGUGAUGAAGGCCUUAGGGUUGUAAAGCUCUUUCGACGGGGAAGAUGAUGACGGUACCCGUAGAAGAAGCCCCGGCUAACUUCGUGCCAGCAGCCGCGGUAAU
RNAcentral lists this ribosomal RNA (453 nucleotides) under uncultured bacterium. Its description in RNAcentral is "bacterial SSU rRNA". It matches the Rfam family "Bacterial small subunit ribosomal RNA", at positions 29 to 524 of the family's 1533-position model. The record is from RNAcentral.